AUAGGGGAGCCGAAGGGAAACCGAGUCUUAACUGGGCGUUAAGUUGCAGGGUAUAGACCCGAAACCCGGUGAUCUAGCCAUGGGCAGGUUGAAGGUUGGGUAACACUAACUGGAGGACCGAACCGACUAAUGUUGAAAAAUUAGCGGAUGACUUGUGGCUGGGGGUGAAAGGCCAAUCAAACCGGGAGAUAGCUGGUUCUCCCCGAAAGCUAUUUAGGUAGCGCCUCGUGAACUCAUCUUCGGGGGUAGAGCACUGUUUCGGCUAGGGGGUCAUCCCGACUUACCAACCCGAUGCAAACUGCGAAUACCGAAGAAUGUUAUCACGGGAGACACACGGCGGGUGCUAACGUCCGUCGUGAAGAGGGAAACAACCCAGACCGCCAGCUAAGGUCCCAAAGUCACAGUUAAGUGGGAAACGAUGUGGGAAGGCUCAGACAGCCAGGAUGUUGGCUUAGAAGCAGCCAUCAUUUAAAGAAAGCGUAAUAGCUCACUGGUCGAGUCGGCCUGCGCGGAAGAUGUAACGGGGCUAAACUGUGCACCGAAGCUGCGGCAGCGACGCUUAUGCGUUGUUGGGUAGGGGAGCGUUCUGUAAGCCUGCGAAGGUGUCCUGUGAGGGAUGCUGGAGGUAUCAGAAGUGCGAAUGCUGACAUAAGUAACGAUAAUGCGGGUGAAAAGCCCGCUCGCCGGAAGACCAAGGGUUCCUGUCCAACGUUAAUCGGGGCAGGGUGAGUCGACCCCUAAGGCGAGGCCGAAAGGCGUAGUCGAUGGGAAACGGGUUAAUAUUCCCGUACUUGGUGUUACUGCGAAGGGGGGACGGAGAAGGCUAUGUUGGCCGGGCGACGGUUGUCCCGGUUUAAGCGUGUAGGUGUGUGUUCCAGGUAAAUCCGGUUCACUUUAACACUGAGGCGUGAUGACGAGGCACUACGGUGCUGAAGCAACAAAUGCCCUGCUUCCAGGAAAAGCCUCUAAGCAUCAGGUAACAUCAAAUCGUACCCCAAACCGACACAGGUGGUCAGGUAGAGAAUACCAAGGCGCUUGAGAGAACUCGGGUGAAGGAACUAGGCAAAAUGGUGCCGUAACUUCGGGAGAAGGCACGCUGACACGUAGGUGAAGUGAUUUACUCA
RNAcentral lists this ribosomal RNA (1124 nucleotides) under Salmonella enterica subsp. enterica serovar Kentucky. RNAcentral describes it as "partial 23S ribosomal RNA". It matches the Rfam family "Bacterial large subunit ribosomal RNA", at positions 657 to 1773 of the family's 2925-position model. The record is from RNAcentral. Lineage: Bacteria; Pseudomonadati; Pseudomonadota; Gammaproteobacteria; Enterobacterales; Enterobacteriaceae.